CACGCCGUAAACGAUGUCGACUUGGAGGUUGUGCCCUUGAGGCGUGGCUUCCGGAGCUAACGCGUUAAGUCGACCGCCUGGGGAGUACGGCCGCAAGGUUAAAACUCAAAUGAAUUGACGGGGGCCCGCACAAGCGGUGGAGCAUGUGGUUUAAUUCGAUGCAACGCGAAGAACCUUACCUGGUCUUGACAUCCACGGAAGUUUUCAGAGAUGAGAAUGUGCCUUCGGGAACCGUGAGACAGGUGCUGCAUGGCUGUCGUCAGCUCGUGUUGUGAAAUGUUGGGUUAAGUCCCGCAACGAGCGCAACCCUUAUCCUUUGUUGCCAGCGGUCCGGCCGGGAACUCAAAGGAGACUGCCAGUGAUAAACUGGAGGAAGGUGGGGAUGACGUCAAGUCAUCAUGGCCCUUACGACCAGGGCUACACACGUGCUACAAUGGCGCAUACAAAGAGAAGCGACCUCGCGAGAGCAAGCGGACCUCAUAAAGUGCGUCGUAGUCCGGAUUGGAGUCUGCAACUCGACUCCAUGAAGUCGGAAUCGCUAGUAAUCGUGGAUCAGAAUGCCACGGUGAAUACGUUCCCGGGCCUUGUACACACCGCCCGUCACACCAUGGGAGUGGGUUGCAAAAGAAGUAGGUAGCUUAACCUUCGGGAGGGCGCUUACCACUUUGUGAUUCAUGACUGGGGUGAAGUCGUAACAAGGUAACC
Molecule: ribosomal RNA, 705 nt
Filed under: Escherichia coli
Lineage: Bacteria; Pseudomonadati; Pseudomonadota; Gammaproteobacteria; Enterobacterales; Enterobacteriaceae
Description: bacterial SSU rRNA
Rfam family: Bacterial small subunit ribosomal RNA
Source: RNAcentral